Molecule: ribosomal RNA, 2618 nt
Filed under: Salmonella enterica subsp. enterica serovar Enteritidis
Lineage: Bacteria; Pseudomonadati; Pseudomonadota; Gammaproteobacteria; Enterobacterales; Enterobacteriaceae
Description: bacterial LSU rRNA
Rfam family: Bacterial large subunit ribosomal RNA
Source: RNAcentral
UACAGGGUGACAGCCCCGUACACAAAAGCGCAUGUGCUGUGAGCUCGAUGAGUAGGGCGGGACACGUGGUAUCCUGUCUGAAUAUGGGGGGACCAUCCUCCAAGGCUAAAUACUCCUGACUGACCGAUAGUGAACCAGUACCGUGAGGGAAAGGCGAAAAGAACCCCGGCGAGGGGAGUGAAAAAGAACCUGAAACCGUGUACGUACAAGCAGUGGGAGCCCCACCACCAAAGCAUUUGCUGUACCGCGUUGACGGAGCGAAGCGACGUCAAACCGAUAAAACAGCAGUGUAAAGUGAGCCGCAGGGCGCUUUGCGCGACAGCGCAAAGGCAGGCGGUUUCGCGUAGCGAAAGCGAAUGCUUUGGGGUGGGGUGACUGCGUACCUUUUGUAUAAUGGGUCAGCGACUUAUAUUCUGUAGCAAGGUUAACCGAAUAGGGGAGCCGGAGGGAAACCGAGUCUUAAUUGGGCGUUAAGUUGCAGGGUAUAGACCCGAAACCCGGUGAUCUAGCCAUGGGCAGGUUGAAGGUUGGGUAACACUAACUGGAGGACCGAACCGACUAAUGUUGAAAAAUUAGCGGAUGACCUGUGGCUGGGGGUGAAAGGCCAAUCAAACCGGGAGAUAGCUGGUUCUCCCCGAAAGCUAUUUAGGUAGCGCCUCGUGAAUUCAUCUCCGGGGGUAGAGCACUGUUUCGGCUAGGGGGCCAUCCCGGCUUACCAACCCGAUGCAAACUGCGAAUACCGGAGAAUGUUAUCACGGGAGACACACGGCGGGUGCUAACGUCCGUCGUGAAGAGGGAAACAACCCAGACCGCCAGCUAAGGUCCCAAAGUCAUGGUUAAGUGGGAAACGAUGUGGGAAGGCCCAGACAGCCAGGAUGUUGGCUUAGAAGCAGCCAUCAUUUAAAGAAAGCGUAAUAGCUCACUGGUCGAGUCGGCCUGCGCGGAAGAUGUAACGGGGCUAAACCAUGCACCGAAGCUGCGGCAGCGACACUGUGUGUUGUUGGGUAGGGGAGCGUUCUGUAAGCCUGUGAAGGUGUGUCGUGAGGCAUGCUGGAGGUAUCAGAAGUGCGAAUGCUGACAUAAGUAACGAUAAAGCGGGUGAAAAGCCCGCUCGCCGGAAGACCAAGGGUUCCUGUCCAACGUUAAUCGGGGCAGGGUGAGUCGACCCCUAAGGCGAGGCCGAAAGGCGUAGUCGAUGGGAAACGGGUUAAUAUUCCCGUACUUGGUGUUACUGCGAAGGGGGGACGGAGAAGGCUAUGUUGGCCGGGCGACGGUUGUCCCGGUUUAAGCGUGUAGGUGUGUGUUCCAGGUAAAUCCGGUUCACUUUAACACUGAGGCGUGACGACGAGGCACUACGGUGCUGAAGCAACAAAUGCCCUGCUUCCAGGAAAAGCCUCUAAGCAUCAGGUAACAUCAAAUCGUACCCCAAACCGACACAGGUGGUCAGGUAGAGAAUACCAAGGCGCUUGAGAGAACUCGGGUGAAGGAACUAGGCAAAAUGGUGCCGUAACUUCGGGAGAAGGCACGCUGACACGUAGGUGAAGUGAUUUACUCAUGGAGCUGAAGUCAGUCGAAGAUACCAGCUGGCUGCAACUGUUUAUUAAAAACACAGCACUGUGCAAACACGAAAGUGGACGUAUACGGUGUGACGCCUGCCCGGUGCCGGAAGGUUAAUUGAUGGGGUCAGCGCAAGCGAAGCUCCUGAUCGAAGCCCCGGUAAACGGCGGCCGUAACUAUAACGGUCCUAAGGUAGCGAAAUUCCUUGUCGGGUAAGUUCCGACCUGCACGAAUGGCGUAAUGAUGGCCAGGCUGUCUCCACCCGAGACUCAGUGAAAUUGAACUCGCUGUGAAGAUGCAGUGUACCCGCGGCAAGACGGAAAGACCCCGUGAACCUUUACUAUAGCUUGACACUGAACAUUGAGCCUUGAUGUGUAGGAUAGGUGGGAGGCUUUGAAGUGUGGACGCCAGUCUGCAUGGAGCCGACCUUGAAAUACCACCCUUUAAUGUUUGAUGUUCUAACGUGGACCCGUUACCCGGGUUGCGGACAGUGUCUGGUGGGUAGUUUGACUGGGGCGGUCUCCUCCUAAAGAGUAACGGAGGAGCACGAAGGUUGGCUAAUCCUGGUCGGACAUCAGGAGGUUAGUGCAAUGGCAUAAGCCAGCUUGACUGCGAGCGUGACGGCGCGAGCAGGUGCGAAAGCAGGUCAUAGUGAUCCGGUGGUUCUGAAUGGAAGGGCCAUCGCUCAACGGAUAAAAGGUACUCCGGGGAUAACAGGCUGAUACCGCCCAAGAGUUCAUAUCGACGGCGGUGUUUGGCACCUCGAUGUCGGCUCAUCACAUCCUGGGGCUGAAGUAGGUCCCAAGGGUAUGGCUGUUCGCCAUUUAAAGUGGUACGCGAGCUGGGUUUAGAACGUCGUGAGACAGUUCGGUCCCUAUCUGCCGUGGGCGCUGGAGAACUGAGGGGGGCUGCUCCUAGUACGAGAGGACCGGAGUGGACGCAUCACUGGUGUUCGGGUUGUCAUGCCAAUGGCACUGCCCGGUAGCUAAAUGCGGAAGAGAUAAGUGCUGAAAGCAUCUAAGCACGAAACUUGCCCCGAGAUGAGUUCUCCCUGAGACUUA